Molecule: non-coding RNA, 221 nt
Filed under: Rhodanobacter spathiphylli
Lineage: Bacteria; Pseudomonadati; Pseudomonadota; Gammaproteobacteria; Lysobacterales; Rhodanobacteraceae
Source: RNAcentral
UAACUUGCGCCCCGCCGAGGUUUCCAUCUUUUCAUCCGAAUGAAAAGAUGAAACGAAGAGGGAAGCCGGUGCAAAUCCGGCGCUGCCCCGCAGCGGUAUGUGGAAACGACCUUCGCCAGACGCACUGGGCACAGCUGCCCGGGAAGCGGCGGACAGUAGGCGGCCGGCCCUCGCCGGCCACGUCCACGAGCCCGAAGACCUGCCUCGGCCGGAGUCCGGAC